UACGUAGGGCGCAAGCGUUGUCCGGAAUUAUUGGGCGUAAAGAGCUCGUAGGCGGCUUGUCACGUCGGAUGUGAAAGCCCGGGGCUUAACCCCGGGUCUGCAUUCGAUACGGGCUAGCUAGAGUGUGGUAGGGGAGAUCGGAAUUCCUGGUGUAGCGGUGAAAUGCGCAGAUAUCAGGAGGAACACCGGUGGCGAAGGCGAAUCUCUGGGCCAUUACUGACGCUGAGGAGCGAAAGCGUGGGGAGCGAACAGG
RNAcentral lists this ribosomal RNA (253 nucleotides) under uncultured bacterium. RNAcentral's name for it is "partial 16S ribosomal RNA". It matches the Rfam family "Bacterial small subunit ribosomal RNA", at positions 524 to 776 of the family's 1533-position model. The record is from RNAcentral.